CCUCAAACUUCUCCCCCUGUUCCACUAGGACUUGCUGUAGUUCCAGACAAUGUGGAGAUACUGUGUGAGACCUCUGUCAAAGGUGGAAUGCUUCACUCUACGAGAAAUCCAGCACCUCUGAGCUGACAUGAUCCCCUUGGUGGAGGGGAUGCCCAAAGAGUGCCUGCCACACGCACAGCCGAGAUUCACGGGUGUGACCAGGCUAGUGCUUCCAAGGACAGAGACGUUCUGGCCUCCUGACGUCUGGAGUCUGAGCCUCUCCCAGUCCGGGAACAUACCCAUUAGAAGAGUCCCUCCAGUGGGUGAGCUGAGGAGGUGAUUUUUGCAAGAGAAUCAUAGAGGUAUCCACUUACCAAGUUGACGUCAGUGAGAGGCUGGAUCAAUCCCCAGAACUUCCUAUCUCAGACUUCUUGUCAUUUGAGAAGUUUAAAGAGGCUUCCUUCAAACCAGGAUCAUAAAAAUAGUUAUCCAUAUUUUCUUCUAUUAAUUUCAAGCCUUCAAGAUAACUUUUAAAUUGUUGAUCCGUCUGGAAUUUAUUUUGGUAUAAAAGUAAGGAAAACAAAUUACAAAAGUAACCUAUGCUUGCUAUAA
This 591-nucleotide long non-coding RNA is filed under the name Equus caballus (horse). RNAcentral describes it as "lncRNA (ENSECAG00000048844.1)". The record is from RNAcentral. Lineage: Eukaryota; Metazoa; Chordata; Mammalia; Perissodactyla; Equidae.